Molecule: ribosomal RNA, 446 nt
Filed under: uncultured bacterium
Lineage: Bacteria
Description: bacterial SSU rRNA
Rfam family: Bacterial small subunit ribosomal RNA
Source: RNAcentral
UUUCCUACGGGUGGCUGCAGUGAGGAAUAUUGCACAAUGGGGGAAACCCUGAUGCAGCAACGCCGCGUGCGGGACGAAGGCCUUCGGGUCGUAAACCGCUUUUCUGGGGAAAGAGCAAGGACGGUACCUCAGGAAUAAGUCUCGGCUAACUACGUGCCAGCAGCCGCGGUAAAACGUAGGAGGCGAGCGUUAUCCGGAUUUACUGGGCGUAAAGCGCACGCAGGCGGCUCUGUGAGUCGGACGUGAAAGCUCCCGGCUUAACCGGGAGAGGCCGUUCGAUACUGCGGGGCUUGAGGUAGGGAGAGGAAUGCGGAAUUCCCGGUGUAGUGGUGGAAUGCGUAGAUAUCGGGAGGAACACCUGUGGCGAAAGCGGCAUUCUGGCCCUCACCUGACGCUGAGGUGCGAAAGCGUGGGUAGCAAACAGGAUUAGAUACCCUAGUAGUCUG